AGAGGCUCGUGAGAAGCUGGAGAU
RNAcentral lists this non-coding RNA (24 nucleotides) under Cricetulus griseus (Chinese hamster). Lineage: Eukaryota; Metazoa; Chordata; Mammalia; Rodentia; Cricetidae. The record is from RNAcentral.